RNAcentral lists this long non-coding RNA (214 nucleotides) under Lathyrus oleraceus (garden pea). RNAcentral's name for it is "Pisum sativum (pea) long non-coding RNA (PSAT_LNC029539)". Lineage: Eukaryota; Viridiplantae; Streptophyta; Magnoliopsida; Fabales; Fabaceae. The record is from RNAcentral.
AAAAAAAAACAAGAUUAGGUGACCUCCAUAUCAAAAAUCAAAAGGUCGCUGACAUCCAUGACAAAAUAAAAUAAGGUGACUGUCGUUUCAUGAGAAUCUUGAAUCAUCAUUUUCACUCUUACACCGUUGAACUCUCUGGGAAGACGAAUGCAUGCGUAAAAUUAAUUGAACGUAGCACUUGAGUUUAUCAAGAAGAAGGGGUAGGUUAAAAAAA